This 202-nucleotide long non-coding RNA is filed under the name Mytilus galloprovincialis (Mediterranean mussel). Lineage: Eukaryota; Metazoa; Mollusca; Bivalvia; Mytilida; Mytilidae. The record is from RNAcentral.
UCGGAAUUUAAUGAAAAGUUAAGAAUUUAAAAUUAAGAAAAGAACUACUACGUCCUUUAUGAUUAUAAAAUAACAUUUAAUUUCAUGAUAAAACAGGGUGUAACCAAGGCUUUCACGUUAUAUAGUUAACCAUAAGCUUGUCUGAUACAUGCGUCUACAAACAAGUGAAUCACAAAGCAUAACUCUGAAUAUUAGAAACACG